GGUGAGGUAACGGCUCACCAAGGCAUUGACGGGUAGCUAGUCUGAGAGGACGAAUAGCCACACUGGGACUGAGACACGGCCCAGACUCCUACGGGAGGCAGCAGUGGGGAAUCUUGCACAAUGGGCGAAAGCCUGAUGCAGCGACGCCGCGUGGGGGAUGAAGGCCCUAGGGUCGUAAACCCCUUUCAGUGGGGACGAAACUGACGGUACCCACAGAAGAAGGUCCGGCCAACUAUGUGCCAGCAGCCGCGGUAAGACGUAGGGACCGAGCGUUAUCCGGAUUUAUUGGGCGUAAAGAGCUCGUAGGCGGUUGCGUAAGUCGGAAGUGAAAACUUGAGGCUCAACCUCGAGACGCCAUCCGAUACUGCGCUGACUUGAAUCCAGUAGGGGAGUGUGGAAUUUGUUGUGUAGCGGUGAAAUGCGCAGAUAUGACAAGGAACACCUAUGGCGAAGGCAGCACUCUGGGCUGGUAUUGACGCUGAGGAGCGAAAGCAUGGGUAGCAAACAGGAUUAGAUACCCUGGUAGUCCAUGCCGUAAACGGUGGGCACUAGGUGUGGGGACUUUCAACGGUUUCCGUGCCGAAGCUAACGCAUUAAGUGCG
Molecule: ribosomal RNA, 602 nt
Filed under: uncultured Actinomycetes bacterium
Lineage: Bacteria; Bacillati; Actinomycetota; Actinomycetes
Description: bacterial SSU rRNA
Rfam family: Bacterial small subunit ribosomal RNA
Source: RNAcentral